GUCCGAUUAGUUAGUUGGUGGGGUAAGAGCCUACCAAGGCAGCGAUCGGUAGCUGGUCUGAGAGGAUGAGCAGCCACACUGGGACUGAGACACGGCCCAGACUCCUACGGGAGGCAGCAGUGGGGAAUUUUCCGCAAUGGGCGCAAGCCUGACGGAGCAACGCCGCGUGUGGGAAGAAGGCUCUUGGGCUGUCAACCACUUUUCUCAGGGAAGAAGUCCUGACGGUACCUGAGGAAUCAGCCUCGGCUAACUCCGUGCCAGCAGCCGCGGUAAUACGGAGGAGGCAAGCGUUAUCCGGAAUUAUUGGGCGUAAAGCGUCCGCAGGGGGCACUUCAAGUCUGCUGUCAAAGGUCGGAGCUUAACUCCGGUUCGGCAGUGGAAACUGGAGCGCUAGAGGGCGACAGGGGUAGAGGGAAUUCCCAGUGUAGCGGUGAAAUGCGUAGAGAUUGGGAAGAACACCGGUGGCGAAAGCGCUCUACUGGGUCGCACCUGACCCUCAGGGACGAAAGCUAAGGUAGCGAAAGGGAUUAGAUACCCCUGUAGUCUUAGCCGUAAACGAUGGAUACUAGGCGUGGUUUGUAUCGACCCAAGCCGUGCCGAAGCUAACGCGUUAAGUAUCCCGCCUGGGGAGUACGCACGCAAGUGUGAAACUCAAAGGAAUUGACGGGGGCCCGCACAAGCGGUGGAGGAUGUGGUUUAAUUCGAUGCAACGCGAAGAACCUUACCAGGGCUUGACAUCCCNGCGAAUUCUUGCUGAAAGGCGAGAGUGCCUUCGGGAGCGCGGAAGACNAGGUGGUGCAUGGCUGUCGUCAGCUCGUGUCGUGAGAUGUUGGGUUAAGUCCCGCAACGAGCGCAACCCUCGUCCUUAGUUGCCAGCAUUAAGUUGGGCACUCUAGGGAGACUGCCGGUGACAAACCGGAGGAAGGUGAGGAUGACGUCAAGUCAGCAUGCCCCUUAUGCUCUGGGCAACACACGUCCUACAAUGGUCGGGACAAAGGGGAGCAAGCUCGCGAGAGUAAGCGAAUCCCAGCAAACUCGGCCUCAGUUCAGAUG
This 1053-nucleotide ribosomal RNA is filed under the name uncultured organism. RNAcentral's name for it is "bacterial SSU rRNA". It matches the Rfam family "Bacterial small subunit ribosomal RNA", at positions 235 to 1299 of the family's 1533-position model. The record is from RNAcentral.